RNAcentral lists this ribosomal RNA (1314 nucleotides) under Streptomyces sp. RNAcentral describes it as "bacterial SSU rRNA". It matches the Rfam family "Bacterial small subunit ribosomal RNA", at positions 102 to 1417 of the family's 1533-position model. Lineage: Bacteria; Bacillati; Actinomycetota; Actinomycetes; Kitasatosporales; Streptomycetaceae. The record is from RNAcentral.
ACGGGUGAGUAACACGUGGGCAAUCUGCCCUGCACUCUGGGACAAGCCCUGGAAACGGGGUCUAAUACCGGAUACUGAUCCUCGCAGGCAUCUGCGAGGUUCGAAAGCUCCGGCGGUGCAGGAUGAGCCCGCGGCCUAUCAGCUAGUUGGUGAGGUAACGGCUCACCAAGGCGACGACGGGUAGCCGGCCUGAGAGGGCGACCGGCCACACUGGGACUGAGACACGGCCCAGACUCCUACGGGAGGCAGCAGUGGGGAAUAUUGCACAAUGGGCGAAAGCCUGAUGCAGCGACGCCGCGUGAGGGAUGACGGCCUUCGGGUUGUAAACCUCUUUCAGCAGGGAAGAAGCGAAAGUGACGGUACCUGCAGAAGAAGCGCCGGCUAACUACGUGCCAGCAGCCGCGGUAAUACGUAGGGCGCAAGCGUUGUCCGGAAUUAUUGGGCGUAAAGAGCUCGUAGGCGGCUUGUCACGUCGGUUGUGAAAGCCCGGGGCUUAACCCCGGGUCUGCAGUCGAUACGGGCAGGCUAGAGUUCGGUAGGGGAGAUCGGAAUUCCUGGUGUAGCGGUGAAAUGCGCAGAUAUCAGGAGGAACACCGGUGGCGAAGGCGGAUCUCUGGGCCGAUACUGACGCUGAGGAGCGAAAGCGUGGGGAGCGAACAGGAUUAGAUACCCUGGUAGUCCACGCCGUAAACGGUGGGCACUAGGUGUGGGCAACAUUCCACGUUGUCCGUGCCGCAGCUAACGCAUUAAGUGCCCCGCCCGGGGGAGUACGGCCGCAAGGCUAAAACUCAAAGGAAUUUGACGGGGGGCCCGCACAAGCGGCGGAAGCAGGUGGCUUAAUUCGACGCAACGCGAAGAACCUUACCAAGGCUUGACAUACACCGGAAAACCCUGGAAAACAGGGUCCCCCUUGUGGUCGGUGUACAGGUGGUGCAUGGCUGUCGUCAGCUCGUGUCGUGAGAUGUUGGGUUAAGUCCCGCAACGAGCGCAACCCUUGUCCCGUGUUGCCAGCAGGCCCUUGUGGUGCUGGGGACUCACGGGAGACCGCCGGGGUCAACUCGGAGGAAGGUGGGGACGACGUCAAGUCAUCAUGCCCCUUAUGUCUUGGGCUGCACACGUGCUACAAUGGCCGGUACAAUGAGCUGCGAUACCGCGAGGUGGAGCGAAUCUCAAAAAGCCGGUCUCAGUUCGGAUUGGGGUCUGCAACUCGACCCCAUGAAGUCGGAGUCGCUAGUAAUCGCAGAUCAGCAUUGCUGCGGUGAAUACGUUCCCGGGCCUUGUACACACCGCCCGUCACGUCACGAAAGUCGGUAA